GACGAACGCUGGCGGCGUGCCUAAUACAUGCAAGUCGAACGCUGAAGGAGGAGCUUGCUUCUCUGGAUGAGUUGCGAACGGGUGAGUAACGCGUAGGUAACCUGCCUGGUAGCGGGGGAUAACUAUUGGAAACGAUAGCUAAUACCGCAUAAUAGUAGAUGUUGCAUGACAUUUGCUUAAAAGGUGCAAUUGCAUCACUACCAGAUGGACCUGCGUUGUAUUAGCUAGUUGGUGGGGUAACGGCUCACCAAGGCGACGAUACAUAGCCGACCUGAGAGGGGGAUCGGCCACACUGGGACUGAGACACGGCCCAGACUCCUACGGGAGGCAGCAGUAGGGAAUCUUCGGCAAUGGACGGAAGUCUGACCGAGCAACGCCGCGUGAGUGAAGAAGGUUUUCGGAUCGUAAAGCUCUGUUGUAAGAGAAGAACGAGUGCGAGAGUGGAAAGUUCACACUGUGACGGUAUCUUACCAGAAAGAGACGGCUAACUACGUG
This 495-nucleotide ribosomal RNA is filed under the name uncultured bacterium. RNAcentral describes it as "partial 16S ribosomal RNA". It matches the Rfam family "Bacterial small subunit ribosomal RNA", at positions 28 to 507 of the family's 1533-position model. The record is from RNAcentral.